UGGAAGGACCAUUGGGCCAGACCAAAUUCC
RNAcentral lists this non-coding RNA (30 nucleotides) under Homo sapiens (human). The record is from RNAcentral. Lineage: Eukaryota; Metazoa; Chordata; Mammalia; Primates; Hominidae.